GAAACAGCUGAAAGUUCUGAAAGUUAUUCUUUAAUGUCUAAAUUUGUCUGUAAAUUUAACAAUAUCAGAAACUGUUUGUCAACUUGGCAAAAGAGAGUUAAAAAUUAGGCCAUGGCGGAUAUAUAAAUGAAUACAUAAUAUAUUAGGAAAGAUGUACUUUAUUAAAAGAGGUUUUAAUAGGGCAAAAGAAAAUCAAACUCUAUAGUUGGCGCCUCUGUUGGUUUUUCUCUCUGUUUUUUCUCCUAUGGGUAACCUUGUGGCUGCGAUGAGUGAAACCUCUGACUUUUAGCAGGAACAUGAAUACAUAAAGCAUAUGUACCUAAUAAAAUAUUACAUACAAA
Spea bombifrons (plains spadefoot toad) is the source of this 341-nucleotide long non-coding RNA. RefSeq lists it as uncharacterized. The transcript has 2 exons. The record is from RefSeq and is a predicted model, not a curated record. NCBI's taxonomy places the organism in Eukaryota, Metazoa, Chordata, Amphibia, Anura, Pelobatidae.